AGUGAACGCUGGCGGUAGGCCUAACACAUGCAAGUCGAACGGCAGCACAGUAAGAGCUUGCUCUUACGGGUGGCGAGUGGCGGACGGGUGAGGAAUACAUCGGAAUCUACUUUUUCGUGGGUGGUAACGUAGGGAAACUUACGCUAAUACCACGUACGCCCUACGAGUGAAAGCAUUCGCUCUUCUGACCUUGUGCCGUUGGAUGAGCCGAUGUCGGUUUAGAAAGUUGUCGGGGUAAAGACCCACCAAGGCGACUAUCCGUAGCUGGUCUGAGAGGAUGAUAAGGCACACUGGAACGGAGACAAGGCACAGACUACUAUGGUAGGCAGCAGUGGGGAAUAUUGGACAAGGGGCGGAAGCCUGAUCCAGCCAUACCGAGUGGGUGGAGAAGGCCUUCGGGUUGGAAAGCCAUUCUGUUGGGAAAGAAAAGCAGCAGGUUAAUACCCCGCUGUUCUGACGGUACCCAAAGAAUAAGCACCGGCUAACUUCGUG
This 492-nucleotide ribosomal RNA is filed under the name uncultured bacterium. Its description in RNAcentral is "partial 16S ribosomal RNA". It matches the Rfam family "Bacterial small subunit ribosomal RNA", at positions 29 to 507 of the family's 1533-position model. The record is from RNAcentral.